Molecule: ribosomal RNA, 484 nt
Filed under: uncultured bacterium
Lineage: Bacteria
Description: partial 16S ribosomal RNA
Rfam family: Bacterial small subunit ribosomal RNA
Source: RNAcentral
AUUGAACGCUGGCGGCAGGCCUAACACAUGCAAGUCGAGCGGAUGAAGGGAGCUUGCUCCUGGAUUCAGCGGCGGACGGGUGAGUAAUGCCUAGGAAUCUGCCUUGUAUUGGGGGAUAACGUCCGUAAACGGGCGCUAAUACCGCAUACGUCCUUAGGGAGAAAGUGGGGGUUCUUCGGACCUCACGCUUUCUUAUUUGCCUAGGUCGGAUUAGCUAGUUGGUUGGGUAAAGGCCUACCAAGGCGACGAUCCGUAACUGGUCUGAGAGGAUGAUCAGUCACACUGGAAGUGAGACACGGUCCAGAAUACUACGGGAGGCAGCAGAGGGGAAUAUUGGACAAUGGGGGAAAGCAUGAUACAGCAAAGCCGCGUGUGUGAAGAAGGUCUUCGGAUUGUAAAGCACUUUAAGUUGGGAGGAAGGGAAGUAAGUUAAUACCUUGCUGUUUUGACGGUACCAACAGAAUAAGCACCGGCUAACUUCGUG